UCGAGGAUCUUCGGCAAUGGGCGCAAGCCUGACCGAGCGACGCCGCGUGCGCGAUGAAGGCCUUCGGGUUGUAAAGCGCUGUCGAGGGGGAGGAAAGCCCGCAAGGGCCUGACCUAUCCCUGGAGGAAGCACGGGCUAAGUUCGUGCCAGCAGCCGCGGUAAGACGAACCGUGCGAACGUUGUUCGGAAUCACUGGGCUUAAAGGGCGCGUAGGCGGGUUCCACAGUCGGGGGUGAAAUCUUUCGGCCCAACCGGAAAAGGGCCUCCGAUACUGGGAACCUCGAGUGGGGUAGGGGUCGAUGGAACUUCCGGUGGAGCGGUGAAAUGCGUAGAUAUCGGAAGGAACGCCGGUGGCGAAAGCGAUCGACUGGACCUCUUCUGACGCUGAGGCGCGAAAGCCAGGGGAGCGAACGGG
Molecule: ribosomal RNA, 415 nt
Filed under: Bacillota bacterium
Lineage: Bacteria; Bacillati; Bacillota
Description: Firmicutes bacterium partial 16S ribosomal RNA
Rfam family: Bacterial small subunit ribosomal RNA
Source: RNAcentral